This 67-nucleotide transfer RNA is filed under the name Euapta godeffroyi. RNAcentral's name for it is "tRNA-Ser". The record is from RNAcentral. Lineage: Eukaryota; Metazoa; Echinodermata; Holothuroidea; Apodida; Synaptidae.
GUCAUAAAUAGGUUAAUACCUGCCUGCUAAGCUCGGUGUUUCGCAGUUCAAGUCUGUGAUUAUGAUG